AUACGGAGGGUGCAAGCGUUACUCGGAAUCACUGGGCGUAAAGCGCGCGCAGGCGGCUAUUUAAGUUGGAUGUGAAAGCCUACGGCUCAACCGUAGAACUGCAUCCAAAACUAUUUAGCUAGAGUGUGGGAGAGGAAGAUGGAAUUAGUUGUGUAGGGGUAAAAUCCGUAGAGAUAACUAGGAAUACCAAAAGCGAAGGCAAUCUUCUGGAACACUACUGACGCUGAGGCGCGAAAGCGUGCGGAGCAAACGGGAUUAGAAACCCUAGUAGUCC
Molecule: ribosomal RNA, 274 nt
Filed under: uncultured bacterium
Lineage: Bacteria
Description: partial 16S ribosomal RNA
Rfam family: Bacterial small subunit ribosomal RNA
Source: RNAcentral